CUUGCUAAGGCCGAUGGCGACCGGCGCACGGGUGAGUAACACGUAUCCAACCUGCCGAUAACUCGGGGAUAGCCUUUCGAAAGAAAGAUUAAUACCCGAUGGCAUAAUAGAACCGCAUGGUUUGAUUAUUAAAGAAUUUCGGUUAUCGAUGGGGAUGCGUUCCAUUAGGCAGUUGGUGGGGUAACGGCCCACCAAACCUUCGAUGGAUAGGGGUUCUGAGAGGAAGGUCCCCCACAUUGGAACUGAGACACGGUCCAAACUCCUACGGGAGGCAGCAUG
RNAcentral lists this ribosomal RNA (279 nucleotides) under uncultured bacterium. RNAcentral's name for it is "partial 16S ribosomal RNA". It matches the Rfam family "Bacterial small subunit ribosomal RNA", at positions 76 to 353 of the family's 1533-position model. The record is from RNAcentral.